GUUGAAGUCGAUCGAAGCCCUCCGAUCCACUCGUCUUAGUCUCUGUCUCAAUCGAUCCACUCGUCUGCCUCAAUCUCUGCCUCAGACCACUCGUCUCAGUCUCUGUCUCAGACCUCCGAUACAGACGACUUCGAAGGAAAAAUGUCUAGCUCAAAUUCUGCCAAUAACACACAAUAUACCUUUGAUGCUGAAGAUGAUAAGCCACUGUGGAAAUAUGUGACUAGAUUAGAAAAAUCUGGUGCAAGAGGAGGGAACUAUACUUUUCAAUGUGCUUAUGUGAAGAAUAUUAUUGGAUGUUGAAUGCUUUCUCCUUAUAUUUAUUAUUGGAUGUUAAAUCUUUUA
Molecule: non-coding RNA, 342 nt
Organism: Camellia sinensis
Lineage: Eukaryota; Viridiplantae; Streptophyta; Magnoliopsida; Ericales; Theaceae
Source: RefSeq, a predicted model, not a curated record